RNAcentral lists this small RNA (283 nucleotides) under Arabidopsis thaliana (thale cress). Its description in RNAcentral is "ATSL171800". Lineage: Eukaryota; Viridiplantae; Streptophyta; Magnoliopsida; Brassicales; Brassicaceae. The record is from RNAcentral.
AAAAUGUUUUGGCAAGAUCAGAUGAAUAACAUGCCGUCUUGGCCUAUAUGGCAGGGCGGGUGUUACAGAAAACCUAAAACAUCAAUCUUUUAGAAACUAUUUUUUUCCUAAAGAAAAUCAAUCAUUUAGGAAAAGGGUGAGUAUAUACAUCAUAAAAAAACGUGUUAACACGGAAAAGCAUGGUCAUUUUAAUCAUUGUAUAUGGUCAUAUGGAUAUUAUCACAGUUUAACAACACAAAGAAAAUUACAUCUAGAUGUAUAGAUAAAAGCCAUUAAAAUUUUG